RNAcentral lists this ribosomal RNA (2903 nucleotides) under Salmonella enterica. RNAcentral describes it as "23S ribosomal RNA". It matches the Rfam family "Bacterial large subunit ribosomal RNA". Lineage: Bacteria; Pseudomonadati; Pseudomonadota; Gammaproteobacteria; Enterobacterales; Enterobacteriaceae. The record is from RNAcentral.
UUAAGCGACUAAGCGUACACGGUGGAUGCCCUGGCAGUCAGAGGCGAUGAAGGGCGUGCUAAUCUGCGAUAAGCGCCGGUAAGGUGAUAUGAACCGUUAUAACCGGCGAUACCCGAAUGGGGAAACCCAGUGUGAUUCGUCACACUAUCAUUAACUGAAUCCAUAGGUUAAUGAGGCGAACCGGGGGAACUGAAACAUCUAAGUACCCCGAGGAAAAGAAAUCAACCGAGAUUCCCCCAGUAGCGGCGAGCGAACGGGGAGGAGCCCAGAGCCUGAAUCAGCAUGUGUGUUAGUGGAAGCGUCUGGAAAGGCGCGCGAUACAGGGUGACAGCCCCGUACACAAAAGCGCAUAUGCUGUGAGCUCGAUGAGUAGGGCGGGACACGUGGUAUCCUGUCUGAAUAUGGGGGGACCAUCCUCCAAGGCUAAAUACUCCUGACUGACCGAUAGUGAACCAGUACCGUGAGGGAAAGGCGAAAAGAACCCCGGCGAGGGGAGUGAAAAAGAACCUGAAACCGUGUACGUACAAGCAGUGGGAGCACAGGUUUACCUGUGUGACUGCGUACCUUUUGUAUAAUGGGUCAGCGACUUAUAUUCUGUAGCAAGGUUAACCGAAUAGGGGAGCCGGAGGGAAACCGAGUCUUAAUUGGGCGUUAAGUUGCAGGGUAUAGACCCGAAACCCGGUGAUCUAGCCAUGGGCAGGUUGAAGGUUGGGUAACACUAACUGGAGGACCGAACCGACUAAUGUUGAAAAAUUAGCGGAUGACCUGUGGCUGGGGGUGAAAGGCCAAUCAAACCGGGAGAUAGCUGGUUCUCCCCGAAAGCUAUUUAGGUAGCGCCUCGUGAAUUCAUCUCCGGGGGUAGAGCACUGUUUCGGCUAGGGGGCCAUCCCGGCUUACCAACCCGAUGCAAACUGCGAAUACCGGAGAAUGUUAUCACGGGAGACACACGGCGGGUGCUAACGUCCGUCGUGAAGAGGGAAACAACCCAGACCGCCAGCUAAGGUCCCAAAGUCAUGGUUAAGUGGGAAACGAUGUGGGAAGGCCCAGACAGCCAGGAUGUUGGCUUAGAAGCAGCCAUCAUUUAAAGAAAGCGUAAUAGCUCACUGGUCGAGUCGGCCUGCGCGGAAGAUGUAACGGGGCUAAACCAUGCACCGAAGCUGCGGCAGCGACGCUGAUGCGUUGUUGGGUAGGGGAGCGUUCUGUAAGCCUGUGAAGGUGGCCUGUGAGGGUUGCUGGAGGUAUCAGAAGUGCGAAUGCUGACAUAAGUAACGAUAAAGCGGGUGAAAAGCCCGCUCGCCGGAAGACCAAGGGUUCCUGUCCAACGUUAAUCGGGGCAGGGUGAGUCGACCCCUAAGGCGAGGCCGAAAGGCGUAGUCGAUGGGAAACGGGUUAAUAUUCCCGUACUUGGUGUUACUGCGAAGGGGGGACGGAGAAGGCUAUGUUGGCCGGGCGACGGUUGUCCCGGUUUAAGCGUGUAGGCUGGUUUUCCAGGCAAAUCCGGAAAAUCAAGGCUGAGGCGUGAUGACGAGGCACUACGGUGCUGAAGCAACAAAUGCCCUGCUUCCAGGAAAAGCCUCUAAGCAUCAGGUAACAUCAAAUCGUACCCCAAACCGACACAGGUGGUCAGGUAGAGAAUACCAAGGCGCUUGAGAGAACUCGGGUGAAGGAACUAGGCAAAAUGGUGCCGUAACUUCGGGAGAAGGCACGCUGACAUGUAGGUGAAGUGAUUUACUCAUGGAGCUGAAGUCAGUCGAAGAUACCAGCUGGCUGCAACUGUUUAUUAAAAACACAGCACUGUGCAAACACGAAAGUGGACGUAUACGGUGUGACGCCUGCCCGGUGCCGGAAGGUUAAUUGAUGGGGUCAGCGCAAGCGAAGCUCCUGAUCGAAGCCCCGGUAAACGGCGGCCGUAACUAUAACGGUCCUAAGGUAGCGAAAUUCCUUGUCGGGUAAGUUCCGACCUGCACGAAUGGCGUAAUGAUGGCCAGGCUGUCUCCACCCGAGACUCAGUGAAAUUGAACUCGCUGUGAAGAUGCAGUGUACCCGCGGCAAGACGGAAAGACCCCGUGAACCUUUACUAUAGCUUGACACUGAACAUUGAGCCUUGAUGUGUAGGAUAGGUGGGAGGCUUUGAAGUGUGGACGCCAGUCUGCAUGGAGCCGACCUUGAAAUACCACCCUUUAAUGUUUGAUGUUCUAACGUGGACCCGUAAUCCGGGUUGCGGACAGUGUCUGGUGGGUAGUUUGACUGGGGCGGUCUCCUCCUAAAGAGUAACGGAGGAGCACGAAGGUUGGCUAAUCCUGGUCGGACAUCAGGAGGUUAGUGCAAUGGCAUAAGCCAGCUUGACUGCGAGCGUGACGGCGCGAGCAGGUGCGAAAGCAGGUCAUAGUGAUCCGGUGGUUCUGAAUGGAAGGGCCAUCGCUCAACGGAUAAAAGGUACUCCGGGGAUAACAGGCUGAUACCGCCCAAGAGUUCAUAUCGACGGCGGUGUUUGGCACCUCGAUGUCGGCUCAUCACAUCCUGGGGCUGAAGUAGGUCCCAAGGGUAUGGCUGUUCGCCAUUUAAAGUGGUACGCGAGCUGGGUUUAGAACGUCGUGAGACAGUUCGGUCCCUAUCUGCCGUGGGCGCUGGAGAACUGAGGGGGGCUGCUCCUAGUACGAGAGGACCGGAGUGGACGCAUCACUGGUGUUCGGGUUGUCAUGCCAAUGGCACUGCCCGGUAGCUAAAUGCGGAAGAGAUAAGUGCUGAAAGCAUCUAAGCACGAAACUUGCCCCGAGAUGAGUUCUCCCUGAGACUUAAAGUCUCCUGAAGGAACGUUGAAGACGACGACGUUGAUAGGCCGGGUGUGUAAGCGCAGCGAUGCGUUGAGCUAACCGGUACUAAUGAACCGUGAGGCUUAACCU